AAGAGACACAUAUACCUCACAAGGGAAAUGCCUGGGAGUUUAAAAAAUUCUCCCUUUAGCUGGGAGAUUCCGCCAGUAUUCAUAUGCGUGUCUCACAGAUUAAGCCAUGCAUGUCUAAGUAUAAACAACUUUGUGCUGUGAAACUAAGAAUGGCUCAUUAAAUCAAUUAUAGAUUAUAUGAUGGUUGUUGCUACAAGGAUAACUGUGGUAAUUCUAGAGAUAAUACAUGCUUUCCAGCCCCUACUUCUGGAAGGGGUGUAUUUAAUAAAUAAAAAUCAACUUUGUUGGUGAAUCAUAAUAACUUCACGGACCGCAUGGCCUCGGGCUGGGAGUGCUUCAUUCAAAUAUCUGCCCUAUCAACUGUCGAUGGUAGGAUAGAAGCCUACCAUGGUUGCAACGAGGUAACAGGGAAUAAUGGUUCGAUUCCGGAAAGGGAACCUGAGAAACGGCUACCACAUCCAAGGAAGGGAACAUGCGCUCAAAUUACCCAAUCCCAACACGGAGAGGUAGUGACUAUAUGUAACAAUCUACGGCCUUAUACGUCGUAUAAUUGGAAUGAGUACAAUUUAAAUCCCUUAACGAUGAACAAUUGGAGGGCAAGUCUGGUGCCAGCAACCUCGGUAAUUCCAGCUCCAAUAACGUAUAUUACAGUUGUUGCAGUUAAAAAGCUCGUAGGUGGACCUUGGACCUGAACAGGCGGACCGCCUCACGGCGAGUACUGUCUUGCUGGGGCUUUCCUCUUGUUGAUCUGUUGGUUCAGCAGCAAGUAACCAUGACCUUUACUUUGAAAAAAUUAGAGUGUUCAAAGCAGGCUCGACACCAGAAUAUAUUAGCAUGGAAUAAUAAUAUAGGGCGUGCGCUGCUAUUUUAUUGGUUUGGGGAAUACACGUAAUGAUUGAUAGGGACAGUUGGGGGGCAAUAGUACUCACAUGCUAGAGGCGAAAGUGGUGGAUGUUCUGAAGACUAAGUUCUGCGAAAGCAUUUGCCAAGGAUGUUUUCGUUAAUCAAGAACGAAGGUUAGGGUAUCGAAAACGAUGAGAUACCGUUGUAGUCUAAGCAGUAAACUAUGCGGAGUAGGGAUCGGUCGAUGUUAUCUUUGUGACUCGAUCGGCACCUUACGAGAAAUCAAAGUUUUUGGGUUAUGGGGGGAGUAUGGUCGCAAGGCUGAAACUUAAAGAAAUUGACGGAAGGGCACCUCCAGGAGUGGAGCCUGCGGCUUAAUUUGAUUCAACACGGGGAAACUCACCAGGUCCAGACAUAGGAAGGAUUGACAGAUUGAUAGCUCUUUCUUGAUUCUAUGGGUGGUGGUGCAUGGCCGUUCUUAGUUGGUGGAGUGAUUUGUCUGGUUAAUUCCGAUAACGAACGAGACGUUAGCGUGCUAAAUAGCCCCAUCGACUAUGGUUGGUGGCUGGCUUCUUAGAGGGACUAUUGGCUUCCAGCCAAUGGAAGUUUGAGGCAAUAACAGGUCUGUGAUGCCUUUAGAUGUUCUGGGCCGCACGCGCGCUACACUGACGGAGCCAGCGAGUACGUUCCUUUUCCGGAAGGACUGGGUAGUCUUGUGAAACUUAGUCGUGUUGGGGAUAGAGCAGUGCAAUUAUUGUUCUUCAACGAGGAAUUGCAUAGUAAGCGUGAGUCAUCAGUUAGCGUUGAUUGCGUCCUUGCCCUUUGUACACACCGCCCGUCGUUACUACUGAUGGAAGGGUUUAGUGAGCCUUUGGGAUUGGCAGCUUGUACCGGCAACGGUAGCAGCCCGCCUGAAAAAUAUAGGCAAACUUGGUCUUUUAGAGGAGGUAAAAGUGGUAACAAAGGGGGAGUUUGCGGCCGCAAAUCAAUACCCC
This 1838-nucleotide ribosomal RNA is filed under the name uncultured fungus. Its description in RNAcentral is "SSU rRNA". It matches the Rfam family "Eukaryotic small subunit ribosomal RNA". The record is from RNAcentral. Lineage: Eukaryota; Fungi.